GGGCGGGGCCUUCUGUGGCGCCACUUCCUCCUCCAGCCAGCUUUAGCCUGCUUUCCUUCUGUUGUCGCCCACUUUCCUUCAUUUUCGCUCUCUUUCCUUACGGAUAUCGGCCCCUUUUCUUCCUCUCAUAGCCCGCGUAGGUGUCCAGAUGCUCCCGAAACGGCGGCGAGUGCGGGUCGGCUGUCCCGGUGGUGCUGUCACUUCCUCCACUUCGCCCUUAGUGCUCUUUCCCGGCGUCGCCAUCUACCUGGCUGAACCGCGCAUGGGCCGUAGCCGCCGGGCCUUUCUCACACGCCUGGCGCUGUCGAAGGGCUUCCGUGUCCUCGAAGUCUACAGGUGUGCCUACCUCUGCGUGGGGCACUGCGAAGAUCUGAUGUUGGUGUGGGGCCGGCUAAGCAGGCUUUUUCGCUGGGCCCGUUCAGAGACCCAGGUGACACAUAGCAUGCUCCUGCGGGGCGGCUGCACCUGCGUUAUUGGAUUCCAAAUUAUCUGUGGCUCUUUGGUCAAGUAAUCUUUCUUGAAAGGGAUUUUUAAAAAUUUUUAGGUACUGGGUAUUGAAUCCAAGGGCCCUUUACUGCAGAGCUACAUCCCCAGCCCUUUUUAUUUUUAUUUUUUUAAAGAUAGGGUCUUGCUAAGUUGCAGAGGCUGGCCUUGAACUUUUGAUCCUCCUGUGCCAGCUUUCCCAGUCACUCAGAUUACAGGCAUAGAGCCACAAUCCCAGCAAAGUUGCUAUUAAGAUUGCUAGGAAUGUUCCACAGGAUUAUUGACAAUCAAGCCAGAGGCUUUUCAAAGAGCCAUUCAGGGGAGAGGUAAUUACAAGUAGUAUUUGCCCACGUGCCCUAGAAGCCACAUUGAGCCAUCCUGAAACCUUGAACCUGGAAUAUAACUGGCGCUCUCAUAGGGAGGCAAUCAAGACAGUGCCCAGAGAGAGUAGUUUUGAGAUGGGGAAGCUAAGUGGACUUGGGACCAGUGCUUCCCAAAGCUUUUAUUUACUAUUUUGUAUUUAAACAUCUCCAGGGAAGGAUAGUGCACCAGACCCGCUCACACAGUGCACAUGAUGCAACUUUUACAAUAGCUCUACCAGGUAGUAGUUAUUUCUGUUUUAUAGAGGAGGAUGAAGGGAGACUAGACUUGCCCAAGGGCACACAGCAAGUUCUCAGGGCUGGGGUUCAGACAAAAGUAUGCACUGUCCGGCAUCUGUGCUUAAAUCCUAGCUCUUAAAUAAAGACCAUGUGGUGCCAGACCAUAAGGCAUUCCUUUCUCUGAGGUUGAGAAGGAUACAGGCAAGUCAACACAAAGCCAGGUUGGCUUGUGAGCAUAACUGGAGCAGAAAACCUCAAUAUAAGAGCGGUGGAAAUUUUCAUACACCAGGAGGGGCUUGAGAAGGCUUUCUGGAAGAGGUGGCAUUUGAAGAAUGAAAGGCAGUCACCAUGCAGAGGGGACAGCAACAAUAAAAGCUUAAAGGUAUGGAGCCAAACAGGAAGGUCAAUGGAUUUCACAGUCCUCCUCUGCCUUUGCCCAGCUCCGAGGUGACACAUGUGGUGAUGGAACAGACCUCAGUGAAGGAGGCCAUCUGCUGGCAGAAGCACAUGGCUGCUGCUCUCCCGUGCUGUCCCCACCCAGCUCUGCUGGACAUCAGCUGGUUCACAGAAAGCAUGGCAGCUGGGCAGCCUGUCCCUGUGGAGGACCGGCAUCGCCUGGAGGUAAGACAGUUCAGGCCUAACUCAGUUGGGAUAGGUGAUGCGCAGCAGCAGUGCCCCAGUGCCCUCCAGAGGGCUCUGCUCAGAUCACCUGGGGUGCCUGAGAAUCAGCAGAGAAGCCAUGGCAAGAGCUGGGGCUGGACCAUCCCAGCUUCUGUCCUCACCACUUGAGGUUCACUUAUGUUUAGCUUCUUCAUGCCUUCCAAAGUGGGGCAGCCCCUGCAGCUGGGGCUUCACUUCUUCCUCAAUGAGUAAUUGGGAUGAUCCAUGGAUUGGUAGGAGCCUAUCCUUGGGACUCUAGAGAGCUAGACUGCUUGUACUCAAAUCCUGGCUCUACCUGUGAGCCAUGAGGGAGGAGGCAUGCUCCCUAACCUUGAAACUUUAGUGUCCCCAGCCCACUUGAUUGUGAGGAUUUGGGGAGGCAGGAAAAGUGCACUGUGAGGAUUAACAGAUUAUUGCUACUACUCUGGUCUGAAGAGCCUUGUCCUCAGUUUGUUCUGCAAUGUAGUCUGUCUGUCCCUCCAUAUAGGGCUCUGAACCACCAAGACCCAUUGCUGUGUCUCCCUCUGCCCAUGCCUGUAGUUCACUACCUCUGUCCUGUGAACUCUAGAGGGCCCAAGGUGAAUGCUCAGGAGAGUCAGGACUCUGAUUGCUGCCUGUUUCUGUCAGCCCUGAAGCCUCAUGAUCUGUGCAUUGCCCUUCUGCAGGUGGUUGAGCCCAGGAAUGAGCCCCCAAGCCUAGUGUGGGUGUCGAUUUAUGCCUGCCAGCGUCCCACACCCCUCACACACCACAAUACCAUCCUCUCGGUGAGUCAUGUCUGUGAGAAAUUUUUAGCUUUCAGGGGACAGGGACAUGGGUACAGCUGGAUGGUAGCUGGUAGAUUGAAGCAAAGUGUCCUGCCCACUCUGCCCCUUAACCAAGGGCCUCUCCCUGCAGGAGGCCUUGGAGACUCUGGCAGAGGCAGCAGGCUUCGAAGGCAGUGAGGGCCGCCUCCUUUCCUUCCGCAGAGCAGCCUCUGUGCUCAGGGCCCUUCCUUGCC
RNAcentral lists this long non-coding RNA (2739 nucleotides) under Marmota monax (woodchuck). Lineage: Eukaryota; Metazoa; Chordata; Mammalia; Rodentia; Sciuridae. The record is from RNAcentral.